UUGACCUUCUUGUGUGUUUCUCUGUAGAAUUCAGAGGAACAGGAUAGGAUGGGAAGAGAGGAAACAGUUCAUUUUAGGAUAAACAGGAGGAGGAGGAGUCAAAUAUGGCACCAAUGGUUUGGACUGGGCUCAUUGGCUCACCUUUCCGGAUCCGGAUCAGGAUUCAGGAUCAGUUUAGGAUUAGGCUUCAGGAUGGAUACAUGGAGCACGACCCCGGCCCUGUCCACCUUACCCCGGCUAACCGGAAACCUCUCAGUAAACGAGAUAAAUCAAACUGAUUUGGCUUUCGGAAUUAUCAAAAUUAUUCCUUCUUUUUUGGUCUGGGACACCAGAGACGCAGUUACUGGCGGCAGAGUGGGGAAACCAUUUCUCUUUUUUUAUUUUUUUAUUUUUUAAUUAUAAAAAGAAGAGCAAAGCUUGGAUAGGAUCCAGUAGGAGGGCAUGGAGGUGCAGGAUGGAUCCCACGCGUAAGGAGAGUGGUAAAUUGUGGGGAACAUUUGUCAGGGGGCGAGGGAGGUGUGGUUGGUAAAAUGAAAGGAUGCUCAAAAUGGUAUGACUUUUCUUGGUUCAGUCAUUUCCAAAGAUGGAUGAUUUGUGAUUUUCAGUAUUUCACUGCUUAUUUCUCUUUUAAUAAAACAUUCAGUAACAAUAA
Molecule: long non-coding RNA, 652 nt
Organism: Poecilia latipinna (sailfin molly)
Lineage: Eukaryota; Metazoa; Chordata; Actinopteri; Cyprinodontiformes; Poeciliidae
Exons: 2
Source: RefSeq, a predicted model, not a curated record